Molecule: ribosomal RNA, 117 nt
Filed under: Candidatus Woesearchaeota archaeon
Lineage: Archaea; Nanobdellati; Candidatus Woesearchaeota
Source: RNAcentral
UAGGACGACCAUAGAGGUCUGGUUACACACGUUCCCAUCUCGAACACGUAAGUUAAGCAGGCUCUCGUUCCAGGUUGUACUGGUCUUCAGAUCGGGAAGCCUGGUUUGUUGUCCGCU